Small nuclear RNA from Erinaceus europaeus (western European hedgehog), 166 nucleotides. Its record names the gene U1. It matches the Rfam family "U1 spliceosomal RNA". From Rfam's summary of the family: U1 is a small nuclear RNA (snRNA) component of the spliceosome (involved in pre-mRNA splicing). Its 5' end forms complementary base pairs with the 5' splice junction, thus defining the 5' donor site of an intron. Lineage: Eukaryota; Metazoa; Chordata; Mammalia; Eulipotyphla; Erinaceidae. The record is from Ensembl.
AUACUUACCUGGUAGGGGAGAUACCAUGAUCAUGAAGGUGGUUUUCCCAGGGUGAGGCUUAUCCAUUGCACUCCAGAUGUGCUGAUCCCUCUGUGGUUUCCCCAAAUGUGGGAAACUCAACUGCAUAAUUUGUGGUAGUUGGGGACUGCAUUUGUGCUACCCCUUU